RNAcentral lists this transfer RNA (85 nucleotides) under Felis catus (domestic cat). It matches the Rfam family "tRNA". Rfam says of the family: Transfer RNA (tRNA) molecules are approximately 80 nucleotides in length. Their secondary structure includes four short double-helical elements and three loops (D, anti-codon, and T loops). The record is from Rfam by way of RNAcentral. Lineage: Eukaryota; Metazoa; Chordata; Mammalia; Carnivora; Felidae.
ACCUGAGUGGCUCGGCUGGUUGAGCGUCUGACUUCGGCUCAGGUCAUGAUCUCGCGUUUUGUGGGUUUGAAUCCCCCAUCAGGCU